Molecule: ribosomal RNA, 653 nt
Filed under: Tetrapsyllus rhombus
Lineage: Eukaryota; Metazoa; Arthropoda; Insecta; Siphonaptera; Rhopalopsyllidae
Description: SSU rRNA
Rfam family: Eukaryotic small subunit ribosomal RNA
Source: RNAcentral
UGGUGCCAGCAGCCGCGGUAACACCAGCUCCAAUAGCGUAUAUUAAAGUUGUUGCGGUUAAAAAGCUCGUAGUUGAAUCUGUGUCCCACACUGUCGGUUCACCGCUCGCGGUGUUAACUGGCAUGUCUGUGGGACGUCCUACCGGUGGGCUCAGCCCGUCAAACGGCGGCCCAACUCAAAAUCCUACCACGGUGCUCUUCACCGAGUGUCGAGGUGGGCCGGUACGUUUACUUUGAACAAAUUAGAGUGCUUAAAGCAGGCUCAUUCGCCUGAAUAUUCUGUGCAUGGAAUAAUGGAAUAGGACCUCGGUUCUAUUUUGUUGGUUUUCGGAAUCCGAGGUAAUGAUUAAUAGGGACAACUGGGGGCAUUCGUAUUGCGACGUUAGAGGUGAAAUUCUUGGAUCGUCGCAGGACGGACAGAAGCGAAAGAAAUGUGUUUUCAUCAAUCAAGAACGAAAGUUAGAGGCGCAAAGGCGAUCAGAUACCGCCCUAGUUCUAACCAUAAACUAUGCCAGCUAGCGAUCCGCCGAAGUUCCUCCGAUGACUCGGCGGGCAGCUUCCGGGAAACCAAAGCUUUUGGGUUCCGGGGGAAGUAUGGUUGCAAAGCUGAAACUUAAAGGAAUUGACGGAAGGGCACCACCAGGAGUGGAGCCU